This 445-nucleotide ribosomal RNA is filed under the name uncultured bacterium. RNAcentral's name for it is "bacterial SSU rRNA". It matches the Rfam family "Bacterial small subunit ribosomal RNA", at positions 331 to 792 of the family's 1533-position model. The record is from RNAcentral.
CCAGACUCCUACGGGAGGCAGCAGUGGGGAAUAUUGCACAAUGGGGGGAACCCUGAUGCAGCGACGCCGCGUGAAGGAAGAAGUAUUUCGGUAUGUAAACUUCUAUCAGCAGGGAAGAAAAAGGACGGUACCUGACUAAGAAGCCCCGGCUAACUACGUGCCAGCAGCCGCGGUAAUACGUAGGGGGCGAGCGUUAUCCGGAUUUACUGGGUGUAAAGGGAGCGCAGGCGGCGCGCCAAGUCUGGUGUGAAACCCCGGGGCUCAACCCCGGGACUGCAUUGGAAACUGGCGGGCUGGAGUGUCGGAGGGGCAGGCGGAAUUCCUGGUGUGGCGGUGAAAUGCGUAGAUAUCAGGAGGAACACCGGUGGCGAAGGCGGCCUGCUGGACGACAACUGACGCUGAGGCUCGAAAGCGUGGGGAGCAAACAGGAUUAGAUACCCCAGUA